Molecule: ribosomal RNA, 402 nt
Filed under: uncultured bacterium
Lineage: Bacteria
Description: bacterial SSU rRNA
Rfam family: Bacterial small subunit ribosomal RNA
Source: RNAcentral
AACGAACGCUGGCGGCAGGCUUAACACAUGCAAGUCGAGCGCACCUUCGGGUGAGCGGCGGACGGGUGAGUAACGCGUGGGAACGUGCCCUUUUCUGCGGAAUAGCCUCUGGAAACGGAGAGUAAUACCGCAUACGGCCCUUCGGGGGAAAGAUUUAUCGGAGAAGGAUCGGCCCGCGUUAGAUUAGAUAGUUGGUGGGGUAAUGGCCUACCAAGUCUACGAUCUAUAGCUGGUUUUAGAGGAUGAUCAGCAACACUGGGACUGAGACACGGCCCAGACUCCUACGGGAGCAGCAGUGGGGAAUCUUGGACAAUGGCGCAAGCCUGAUCCAGCCAUGCCGCGUGAGUGAUGAAGGCCUUAAGGGCGUAAGCUCUUUCGCCAGAGAUGAUAAUGACAGUAUCU